This 212-nucleotide ribosomal RNA is filed under the name uncultured bacterium. RNAcentral describes it as "partial 16S ribosomal RNA". It matches the Rfam family "Bacterial small subunit ribosomal RNA", at positions 524 to 734 of the family's 1533-position model. The record is from RNAcentral.
UACGAAGGGGGCUAGCGUUGUUCGGAUUUACUGGGCGUAAAGCGCACGUAGGCGGAUCGUUAAGUCGGGGGUGAAAUCCUGGAGCUCAACUCCAGAACUGCCUUCGAUACUGGCGAUCUUGAGUCCGGAAGAGGUGAGUGGAACUCCUAGUGUAGAGGUGGAAUUCGUAGAUAUUAGGAAGAACACCAGUGGCGAAGGCGGCUCCACUGGUC